UUGAUGGGAACCUUAGGAUGAUUUGUGCUUUAAUUUUCUAUUCCCAGAAGGUGCCCUGGGUGGUGUCCAUUGUGUGGUUUCUGCUCAUGGGGAGGCUUCUCUCCCUUACCUUUGGGUGGUAUUACAUAUUUGUGUGGCUCACUUAAGAGGUGUCUAUGAGGAGGUUUAGGUUCAUGAGGUGCUCCCUUUCCUUUACCCUUGGAUGGUUUGUCACCGGGGAAUGGUUUCAUGGAUGGCUUACCGUCAGGGAAUCCUUCAACAUGUGGAGGUUUACCCCCUGAGUGUCGUGGAGGUUUAUAUGUGUCCUCAACUUCCACAUUCAAUAGGUGUCUAUGAGGAGGUUUGGGUUCAUGAGGUGCUCCCUUUCCCUUACCCUUGGAUGGUUUUUCACCGGGGAAUGGCUUCAUGGGUGCUUUAUCGGUAGGGAACCCCUCAACAUGUGGAGGUUUACCCCCCGAGUGUCUUGGAGGUUUACCACCUGAAUGUCGUGGAGGUUUAUGUGUGCCCUCAACUUCCACACUCAAUAAGUUUCUAUGAGGAGGUUUUUCCCCAUGUGGUGGCUCCUCUCCUUUACCGCCAGGUCCACUGUGUAUUGGCGGUCGGUGUUCAGGGAAUGGCUUGUGUUCUGGUUGCUUCUCACCUGGGAAAGGCUUCCCCUUGGGAAGCUCAUUAUCAUGAUGUUGGUUAGCUAGAGAAGGAGUGAUGAUAAAAACCACCACUCCAACGAGAAACAAAAGCAAGCAGGCUUUAGACAUGUUUGGGAAUAUAUCUCUCGG
RNAcentral lists this long non-coding RNA (776 nucleotides) under Gossypium raimondii (Peruvian cotton). RNAcentral describes it as "long non-coding RNA (GRAI_LNC009342)". The record is from RNAcentral. Lineage: Eukaryota; Viridiplantae; Streptophyta; Magnoliopsida; Malvales; Malvaceae.